CCCCCACCCUAACAUCUCUAUAACCAGAUCCUGGGAAAGCCAUCGCAGCAUUAAGGCGCAAUGACGACGUCACCUUCGGGACUGUCCGUCCUGACAUUUUAUCAUCUUCAGGAAAGAGUGAAAUACCUUCUGCAUCAGUGGACGGACAGCUCUGCGAGUCCUGCGAGUUCGGUAUGUUAGUCGUGACAACAGAAGCUGCCACUGAGCGGACACACAUAUGUAUCCAAUAUUGCUUUAGAAUGCAUUAUGUGUUUGUAUAAUGUGCCAGUUUAUUUCUGUAGCCUAUCAUUUUCAAUUCUGCCCAUUUCUACAUAUUCUUUAAGGAAUUGAAUGAUUAAAUGACUAUUUACCUAUUUAUUCAAUUCACUACAUUUAUUCCACCCCUUUAUCCUAUUGCAUUAUACAACACACACACACACACACACAAACAUUGCGCUAUGUUUAUAAACCCUUACGUCCAGCCCCUCUGCUUCCCCUACUCCAGUAGUUUGCAUCAUGGUCCUGGGGGGCCAUUAUUUAGUGCCCCUGUAUAUCUGUAUACAGAUGGUACAACAAUAAAGCCAAUUUGACUUGAGCAGACCCCUAAAAUGAGGAAUAUUUUUAGUAACGCUAAAUGCUGUGCAGUACAUCUAAGAUAUGUAUGUCCAGGGAGCACGGAACAGUGAGAAUGCCUAUCUGUGAUUAAAACAUUUAUUAGUCCCGCAAAGCUCCUAAUAAGACUCCUAUGAAGGGAUUAGAGACGCACUGCGGUAUCUGCACAUUAAAUCUUAAAGGUAAGCAGCUCACUUUGUUCAGGUACAAACUUCACGGCGUGCUUUGAAACCCCCCAAACAAACAGCUCGUGUGAGUCCACGGAUAUUCCUCUGGGGGAGGCGUGCGCUGAACUGCCACACUUGAUUGUUCCCUGUGAAGAAAUGAUCUCACCACUGGUGAGGUGGGAAAAAAAAAAAACUCCAUUUAUAUGGGUUGACAAAUGAAUUCGAAGGGAUCUCGGCUGAAUUUUCUCGCCAUUCAAAAUCACCGUGGAAAAUGGUAGUCUUUGAGUUGUUCCCACCAUGAUACUAUUUGCUAAAUCAUUACAGCCACAAAUAGGCUAAUUUUAACAGUUGCACAAUACAGCCAAAAUAUGCCUUCUGAGAAUACAAUGCGUUUUUUCCCAGUUUUGGUUUCUCUGAGCGCGCUAAUUUAGCUUAACUAGAUUAAACAAAUGGUCGUAUUGAUGGGGUGGGGGGUAUUAUCAUGCCCCCACCGCGCUCCAUUUUCUGCAGUUAUUUUUUUCGUCCCGUUCUCCUCACUGUAACGCUCUCCCAUCUGCUCAUCAGCAAGCCUCUUCAAUUAUUUCUGUAAGUAUUUAAUUACAUUAGCAUAAAGAAAACUGGGCCAGCUCCUGCACCAGGGUCUAUGCAGCUCUGGUAGCCAUCGGAUACGCGCGGCGACCUCCUGCUGGGGAAAAAAGCAUCUAAACGUACAUGAGAAGAGUAUAAAUGGAGAAAACUGACCCCGCCCCCUUUCUUAAUAGACAAACCAAGCUGCUCUCUCCACAGCAGCAUUCCAGUCCUUCCCUCUUCACGCGUCCUUGGCCUGACUUCUGGCAAAUAAUUUGCCUUGAAAGAUUUAUCUUGAAAUAAAUAAAUAAAAUGAUUAUAAACAAAGUGGCAAACAAAGACACGAUAAUCCAUAAUUUCGUCAUUUUUUUACAGUUGCUAGCUGGCUAGCCUUGAGUGGCUGGCGAUAGCCAUUGUGUGAGGACACUGUUACACUAAUCCUUAAAGCCAGGAAAAAAGAGGGAAAGUUCCCCCCCCCCGCCAAAGAAGUCCUAUUUUUAAUCCUAAACACAUCCAUUUGAAUUCUGACCUCUUUGUGGCAGCCAGCAUGUUCUCUCUCGUGCUGGCCUUUUGAAGCUUUUGACGUCAUUGUGUUUCUUGCAUGUGAAGGGAAGCCUCCCGCAGGGAAGGGGGGGGGAGGGGGGGGGUGUACUGUCACGUACGUAUACAUAAAAACUCACCGGCGCUCAUCCCUUGCUCAGCUCCAUUGUGAGAGCUGCACAGACGUUUCACUCACUAAAGACAAAUACAGACUGGGAAUAUAUAACCUUAAUAUAGAAAACAUGCCCAGCUGCUGAUUGGCUGAGCCGUGGUUACAGUUCAGCACCGGAAAAGAACAAUAGGUUAAAAGCAAGUCAGCCCCUUCCAGCUGGCUUUCCGAGGCGUUUAGCUUAUGUUAAGCAGUCGGACGGAGCUCCUCUAUGCACUGCACACCUGCGACAAUCCCUCCCUGCCAGAUGUGUCACAGGUCUUCCUGCUCAGACACCCCCCUCAAAGCACAGCAUGGCCCAGUCCAGAUUUCUUCCCUUUGAGAGACUGUCGGCUACCCUCACCCGGCUCCGCCGGCACCUCCCAAAGAUGCUAAUGCAUCAUUUACACAACAAAUUAACAUACUGCCACACCGCUGCUCUCCCACAGAGGGGACAGCAAGGCAGGCCACAUUUUCUCUGUUCCUGUCCCACAAAUUAGAAAACAUUCCAUAUAGGUGUUAAUGGUGUUCCUCUAAAAAUCAGACCCAACCUGUGAUUUACACGCAUACGAGAAAUUAAACAUAAAAAAAAAAAAUAGAACAGUCUGCAUAUGCAAUUAAAAUGGAUUCUUCUGUAUUUUCCCAGGUGUUCAGAGAAGUUUGUCAACCAAGCAAUUUGAGUGGAAAUGAAAGUCUGGAUUCAUUACUUAAAUGAUAGCCUUUGUGGGGGGAAAAAAUCCAUAAAAAAUCCACAAAGACGCUCCAGGUUUUUGAUUGUUGGCCAAGGCAGUGGAAGUGGAUCUGAAGUCUUAUCCACAGCCAGAUGCCUCCAGCCCAUCGCACUAAUCAAGAAAACGAGUCCUAAGGGUUGUGCUGUAGAGGUGAUGAAAUUUUAGAAUAUGCCUAGAACGAUUUACAAGCCAAGGACACGGAAGCCCCAGCUGGAGAGAUUCAGAAAAGCCUGCUGUUAAUAUCCACACCUAAACUCAUAGACUGUUUAACACAUCCCUUUUGCUUAGAACGCUCAGCAGUAUUAAAAAAAAAAUUAAAACGUAACCUUUUUAGUCGCAGACACCAUGAGUGAUGUUCCUCUCAAAUUAUCACCGCUAAAGAUGACCGUCUCACAAGACCGUGCAAACUCUUCAAGAAGCUGCCAAGGAAAAAAAAAGACAUAGCCCUUUUCAAAGUGGCAUUUCUCACUUUAUCAAAUUGCUGCUUGCUCUCUUGAAAUAAAAAAAAAAAUAUAUAGCUGGGGCCCCUAAGAAGUGUGAGAAGCAUUUUGAGCUGCUGGUAUCGUGGCAGAGACACUGGGGGACUGACAGUCAUUGCCAGUUCAUUAUCCCAGUCUGGCUUAUGGAACAAAGUGUGACCAGCCUCAAGGACUUUGGCCACCAUCCUGCCCAAGUCCCUGGAUCAUGAGUAUUUUGUACAUCUGCUGUAUACAGUAAAAACAAGACUCCUUCAGCGAAGAUUGCAUUUAGGACUCUGAUGCAAACUCAGUCUUACAUUGCAGCUAACGUGACUUUAUUUCAUCAUUCCAAUGCAUUCGCACCUUCGAUCAUUUCAAAAGAAAAGGCGUAUCUCAUAAUUAAAGCGAUGGCAGAUUUUUGAGCUCAGCCUCAACACUCAUAAAUUGGCUAAUGAGAGUUUUUGGCUUUAUUUCUUCGCUGAUAUAUGCCUAUAGACCGCGUUGGUGAGUGACAUCAUGACCUGCGCUGUAGUGUGAGCUACGUCGCCAUGGGAAUGGAGCCACGGGAGGAAGAAAAAUGGCGGAGAGGCGGCAACAAAAAUUACAAAACCUGCUGCUCCUAGCUGCAGAGAGGAAUUUAAAUCAUCCCCUGUGUGCUGGCUUUUUGUUGUUGUUGUUGAAUAGCCAUCUGUAAUCUACGAUUUUGUUGAGGGCCUCCUUAGACUUUCAAAUAUGAGAAAUGGACCUGGUCUCCCAUUUCAAUGUACCUAGAAGGAACGCAGGACUUGCAUCAAGCAAUUUAACGGCAUGGGACCUAAAUCACCCUUUAAAAAAAAAUAAUAAUUUAUGGAAUGUCCAUAAAAAAGAAUUUGUAGACAUUCCUGAUGUCUGUUUAGAAUAGAAAAAAUAUUGAUUAGUAAAAUUUAGCCAUAUUUAGAACUUACAGGUAUUAGGAAAUCAGAUGGACUCCAUUGAUUUUAUCUUGUUUAAAUGGACAGUGCUCUUUUCAAAAGCUUGCAUUCCUCCAUCCAUCCAUCCUUUGUCCAUCCUGCUUGUCCAGUUCUAGGAUAGGUUGCAUGUUAUUGCAGUUCUAAUUAAAAGCUAACUUUUGGAGUAGGUUUCAUAUAGGAUGAAGAUGGGAAUUUGCAGAUGUUUGGUGUUUCAUGUUAUUAGAAUAGUGUUACUAAUUAAAAAGCACCCAAUGACACUGCUUGUCAAUUAACUUUUUAUAUCUUAGAAGUAGAGGUUGACCGAUAUAUCGGGCGGCCGAUAUAUCGGGCCGAUAUUUGGGAUUUUUUAAUGUGUCGGCAUUGGCCAAUAUCCGAGUGUAGUAUGCCAAUUUACAGACAGGCACGUCUGCGGGCAGCCCAGUGUUAUUGUUGCUGUGAAACACAUGACCCAUGCUGCCUUGUGCAGGACCCCAGCCAGAAAUUUAGGAAGAGUCCUGGGAGAAUAUGGUAAGGCUUGAAUUCUGAUCUUUCAAAGACCUAUUUAUUUAACUGGUUUGCAAUGAAAUGUUGCUGUAAAAGAAAACGCAAGUGCUUUUGAAAGAGAAUGCGAAUUACGGGAACUGGCGUAAUGAUAAUGAGCCUUCAACCAACUGUUGCUUACAGGUAACGUUAAGGAUCAUUGAUUCUGACAGAGUUUGGAAUUCUGAUGCUUUAUUGUUUAUAAGUUUAAGUUAUUGCUUACAAGUUGUAUUGUAUACAGCAUAUAUCGGCCAUCGGCUGACCCUGACUCCUAAAUAUCAGCAUUGGCUAUUGAAAAACCCAUAUCGGUCAACCUCUACUUAGAAGUAUAAUUUAGGUCUCACUUUAUUACUACUUUAAAUGAAUGUUUUACUUACAUUGUACAUACAUUUAUGAACAAAGUAUUGAUUUUUGUUAUAAAACCAAUAAGCAAUAUUUUUCCUGAAUUAUGCAAGCAUCCCAAGAUAUACUGAAAUUAUGGCCAUUAAUUGCCAUAUAUUUUAAGCUUAUGUCAGUAAUAAUAAGAUAAACCCUAAGCAGUGUAGAUGUCCGUAUAUAAUCGGUAGCAGAGUGGUUAAGGACACUCCGCAUUGCUAGCUCAAGUACCCAUGGGAUUCUGGUGUCAUAUCAGUGAGGAAGGUACUUUACCUGAAGCACCCUAGUCAAAUAUCCUGUUGUAUAAACAGGUUGAACUCUAAGUGGCUUUCGAUAAAAUAAUACCAUCAACAACAGUAGCUAACAGCUAACCCUACAUGCCUUCAUAACAGCUCUUCUGGCUGCCGGUAUAGUCUUUCAUGAUGUGUGGUUACAGCAUGCCCAUGUCAUGAACAAAUUAUGUCAAGUAUAUCCCAUUAACAGCCAUGAAGAAGACAUGAUAACACAGGCUGAAUUCAACCUUUGGAACAGAGGAUGAAGACAAAUGCACAGUUAUUUAACUCUUUGAAGUUAAGUAACAUAACAUCAAUGGUGUGUGUACAAGUAAAUAGAUUUUUUGCUUGCGGCUGGAGAAGAGAAUUUGGCAUUCAGCGGGCAAAUCUAAACAGAGGUCUAUGGAAAAGCGUCCAUCUUCUGUGGAAGAAAAACUGUCUGGUUAAGUCGUGCAAGGAUUGAUAAUAUGCAAAUGUAAUUAGUUGAAUCCACUUAAAGUCCUUCCCUCCUAGAGAGAUGUUCCUCUUAACCGGCCAGGGUAUACAAUGAGAAGACAGAGAAGGACACGGCUGUGAAUGAAGACUGGCUAGAUUGCAGGAGCAAUGAGCUCACGGCUCUAAUAAUGCCUGUGUAGCCAAGAGAACUCAUCAGAUAUAUUCUUUAAACUAUGGGAAAAAAUCUGCAAAGUAUGAGUUUUUUUUCUCUCCUUCCUCUUCUUUUUUCCCCGUUUUUUAAGGGGCUGCUGCACCAUAAUGGCUGGAUCUGUAUGCACUGAGCUCUGUGAACACUAUGUCCAAUUGAUGUGACAACCCCGUUAUCUUGUCAUGGGCUGAAUUCACUCCAGUUAAGCGAUUCAUGCCCUUCUCUUUGCAUGUGCGUUUGACGAACGAAGGAAACAAACCGAAUUCAGCACGCCAUAUCUCUGCCUCGCCACCCGCUACACGUAAAAAUGCCAGAAUGCUCUGUGACGCUAUAGUUGCAAUGAUAAAAAACUAUCUAAAAAUGAAAAUAAAGGGCUUUUUGUUUGAGAAAAAUUGGGCCAGACGGGGCUUUAUGAUUUUUUUUUGUUUGGUUUUGUGAAAGCAGAACAAAAAAACAAUUUUAAUAUGUGGUUUCAGCGUUGAUGCAACGGGAGGCAAAGGCGCACAGUAACGCUGCACGAUAACCCAAUGAACAGCUACAAAUCUGGCUCACCUCUGUCACAACGAAUUUCAACCCCCUCUGAGCAAAAGCUGAGCCAUACCUGGCCUGUUUUCCAGGAGCCAGCAUUACCACAGGAAAACGUCUUUGCACACCAUGCUUCUCAUUGGAAGCAGCAAUUCUGACCCCUGGGUUCUGCAAGGCAGCGAAGCGGUAAGGUUGGUGAUGAUGAUUUCCAGGAACAUGGACAUAACAUGGUCUAUUAUUUUCUGUGCUUAAAAAUCUCGCCUUUCCUUCCCUCAUUCUGAUCCAGUGACUCUUGCAUACCUAAAAGCUUGCUCCCUCCCACUUAAGACACAUACACACAAUCCCCUACCCUGGAAAGAUCCUGAUUUUUUUUCUUUCGAAGGAGCAGUGCAGGCAUGUCGAGCCCUCUCCAUCCUGACCUUCCAAAGAGGCAGAAUGUGAUCGGAAUCCCAAACUUGCCCGGACAGAACUGAGCCAGCCCACAAAUGGGAAUAAAGGAAAUCUGUCUAUUAGCACAUCCCCCCCCCCCCCCCCUCUCAUUUUUCCCCUCUCUCAACACAAAUAUUUGUUUCCGAAGCAUCGAGAAUUCUCAUCAAGCUUGGAAACAGAGGUGUAGGAAGUUUGCAUGGGUUGACGUUUGACUGUCAGGAGGAAGGAGGCAAACAGGAGGGACACAAACAUUUUGACUUAUUUUGUGAACAGAUGUGUUCUGCUCUGGGAUUGUUUACAACACCAGCUGAAGGAAUUCUUAAGAGCUUCUCAGGUUGCACUGGCGGUAUUAUUGAAAAUAUAUAUAUGUAAAAUAUAUCAUUGUGUCCUCAGUAAAACUAAAAGUAGAUUUUUAAAAACCUGCAAUAUUCAUUCAUGCAUUUUUGUUCCUUCAAUUUGGUUUCUGAACAUAACAUUUUAAAAUCUCUGUUUUUUGAUUGUUAAGGUUUUAACAUUUGGGGUUGUGUGUAUCAGCUUUUUUUUCUUUUCUUUGUGUCAGAGCUAAAAUGCUAUUUUAAAAAUACUGUCUGAAAAUUUGGUUGCAACCCCCCGCCUCACAAUCCAAAAACAAUUGCUUUAAGAUUUUAAGAUAUGGUUUUCCGGAAUGUGACACCACACAUUUGAUAGCGGAUCCAUUCAGUCAGGAGCUUCCAUUUACGGAAUGGAAAAUCGGGUUUGGACAAAAUGCACCCAAGCUGAUCCCUGCGGGACUAAUGAUUACGCAAGUUCCCUUUCAGGCCAAAUGCAAUGUUUCACCCUUCCAACUUCCAUCUUCCGUCUCACAACUGCGUUUAUUUACGUUACAAUAUGGCCACACAAGACUGCAACACAACCAUUGUGAUGCUGCCGGUAUUUAAAGAAUGACCCUUUCUUUCACUGAGGAGUGAAGAAGUCAAUCAUGUAGCUAGAAUGAUACAAAAUCAAGGAGGAUUACAAACAAUCUGCACUAAAUACCAACUUAUUCAAAUCUUCCUAAAAUAAAUGACCAAUUAAAUAGGCCCACUGACACUGAAUGGGAGGCUUACCAUCGAAGGAACAAAAUAUAUUUUAAUUUAAAAUUAACAUAUACAGAACAUUCUUUUUCAUUUCUGCAAGCAAGAUGUGUCUUAUAGGAUGUUUAUUUUAAAGGAAAUGUGGUGUGACAUAAAAAUGUUUUGAAGCAGAAAGGUGUGUGACGAUCAAGCAGAACAGCGACACAUCAAGGGUUUUUCAUAAGAAGCGCAAUACAUUUAAAUUUCCUGAAUGCAAACAUAUUUUACUGAAGCAAAACAAAUCCCAGGCUGAUCAUUAACAGA
Molecule: non-coding RNA, 8270 nt
Organism: Paramormyrops kingsleyae
Lineage: Eukaryota; Metazoa; Chordata; Actinopteri; Osteoglossiformes; Mormyridae
Source: RefSeq, a predicted model, not a curated record